RNAcentral lists this ribosomal RNA (253 nucleotides) under uncultured bacterium. RNAcentral describes it as "partial 16S ribosomal RNA". It matches the Rfam family "Bacterial small subunit ribosomal RNA", at positions 524 to 776 of the family's 1533-position model. The record is from RNAcentral.
UACGGGGGGGGCAAGCGUUGUUCGGAAUUACUGGGCGUAAAGGGCUCGUAGGCGGCCAACUAAGUCAGACGUGAAAUCCCUCGGCUUAACCGGGGAACUGCAUCUGAUACUGGAUGGCUUGAGUUCGGGAGAGGGAUGCGGAAUUCCAGGUGUAGCGGUGAAAUGCGUAGAUAUCUGGAGGAACACCGGUGGCGAAGGCGGCUUGCUGGGCCUUACCUGACGCUGAGGAGCGAAAGCGUGGGGAGCGAACAGG